UUGACCUCAAAUCAGGUAGGACUACCCGCUGAACUUAAGCAUAUCAAUAAGCGGAGGAAAAGAAACUAACAAGGAUUCCCCUAGUAACUGCGAGUGAAGCGGGAAAAGCUCAAAUUUGAAAUCUGACGGUUCUUGAUCGUCCGAGUUGUAAUCUAGAGAAGUGUUACCUGUGCUGGACCGUGUUCAAGUCUCCUGGAAUGGAGCAUCAUAGAGGGUGAGAAUCCCGUCUUUGACACGGACUGCCUGUACGCCGUGGUGCGCUCUCAAAGAGUCGAGUUGUUUGGGAAUGCAGCUCAAAAUGGGUGGUAAAUGCCAUCUAAAGCUAAAUAUUGGCGAGAGACCGAUAGCGAACAAGUACCGUGAGGGAAAGAUGAAAAGUACUUUGGAAAGAGAGUUAAACAGUACGUGAAAUUGCUGAAAGGGAAACGCUUGAAGUCAGUCGUGUCGGCCAGAAAUCAGCCUUGCUUUUGCCUGGUGUACUUUCUGGUUUGAUGGGUCAGCAUCAAUUUUGGCCAUCGGACAAAGUCUUUGGGAAUGUGGCAUCUUUGGAUGUGUUAUAGCCCAUUGUCGCAUACGGUGGUUGGGAUUGAGGAAUUCAGCACGCCUCGCAAGGGGCCGGGUAUUUAUACCACGUUCGUGCUUAGGAUGCUGGCAUAAUGGCUUUAAUCGACCCGU
Molecule: ribosomal RNA, 675 nt
Filed under: Inocybe jacobi
Lineage: Eukaryota; Fungi; Basidiomycota; Agaricomycetes; Agaricales; Inocybaceae
Description: eukaryotic LSU rRNA
Rfam family: Eukaryotic large subunit ribosomal RNA
Source: RNAcentral